UCUUGAGUCUUUAUUUUCUAUAAAGACGGUAGCUCAAAUAGUCAGGCUUUAUUUGCUCUUACAAAUCUGAGGUUCGAGUCUCUCUUGAGUACUUACGUAGCAAUUGCUAUAGUUUUCUCGUCCCCAAUAUUGUAUGUUAGGCGUAGAGCUUAGCUUUUUUUUUUCAUCAGACAAAGUUUUGUUUACUGUUUCCUAAAUCUCCAGCUUUAUGCAAAAGAUGCAUCAAAGAAUUGGAAGCUUGUUGGAUCAGAUGGAGGCUACCUUUUGACAACAAAAGAGCCAUCAGCAAAUGUGGUCCUAUUGGAUUAUAUUUCAACUGAAAAAUGGCAAGACGUGGUAGAUUUUGAUGACCACCUUGAUGACAUUAGCAAAGAUUGGCUAAACCCAGAACUCUUCAAGUAAUUUGGCCAUGUUAGCAUUUUUUGUCACUUGACUAUCGUUGAAAGUGUCUGGGAUUCAUGCUUGCUUUACCGAGUUGUUCACAAUGGAUUUAAGGCUCUACAAAGGCUUGACUAGUCAUCAAGUUGAUUGACUCAUUCUGGGAAAUGUUUGCUUCGAGAUACAUACCAUCUUUUCAGUGGUCUCCCAGCUUGACUUUUUUUUUUUUUUUUUAUAUCUGUUAUAAACUUGUCUGAUUCUUUAAAGCAUUUGAAGUAAUUUCAUAACUGGUAGAAUUUGAAUUCAAGCUCAAGUAUUUUUGUGUUUUGUUU
Molecule: long non-coding RNA, 710 nt
Organism: Humulus lupulus (European hop)
Lineage: Eukaryota; Viridiplantae; Streptophyta; Magnoliopsida; Rosales; Cannabaceae
Exons: 2
Source: RefSeq, a predicted model, not a curated record